CGCCCAGGAACAUGGCGGCGGCGGGGCCGAGAGGGGGCGGCGGGAGCGGCCUCCAAGCUCGGGGUUUGCUUUAUGGAUUUAUUUUAGUAACUCUGUCCUUAUCCAGCCCUUCAGAGCACCUUCUCACGGGGAACAGAACCCUGUCAGUUCUGGGAUUCUGUGAUCCUGUGAUGUUAGCAGUUCACACACCAGAAAAUCUCCAGGGACCUUCUGGCUGAGCGUUGUAUAGAAACACAGCCAUAAAUUACUGCAUUUACAUUUACAUCGCUACGCUGUUACAUGAAGGCUCAGAUCAGGAGCAGCACCUUCUGUUUUUCUCUAUUUAUUUUUUCCCCUGUGUGCUCAUUCCCAUUUUAAAGUCCCCCCAAUUUACCUGCAGCACAGUCUAGACAGCUAAUGAAAUAAUAAGAGCCCAGCGGAUUUUUACAAGAACGUAGACAAAAAGGGCAUCAGAAAUAAAUAUAUGAGUAAGAAUUGGAAGGUCGAUGGCCGGGUACUGAGUGUGCCACAGGCAAGGGUGUCCCGGGAUUAUGAGGUGCAUUAAUACCAUUCCUAAAAUCCCCGAAGGAAUCACCCCGUUGUUCUAAGGACCGUGUAGGAACAGCAGGUCACAUUUGUAAAAUGUGCUUAAAGAUGCAGUUGAAUCCCAAAGGGAUUUUUCCAGACAGUUCAUAAAACCAGGUUGUGAGUCACCCCUGGAAGCUAAUGGGAGUAAGGCCUGGAACUUAUCUAGGUGCUUUUAAUAAAUCCUGCUCUUUCCAUAUCGACAUGAUUAAAUGCAUAAUAUGCUUUUUUUAAAUGUGACCCAGUGUUUAUCCAGUGCCAAGAGCAGCAAGCUGAGCACUAAAACGCUCCGUACUUCUGGAAAAUAGUGCCUACUCUGGAGAAUCCAAGAUAUUAAUGAGCAGGUAGUGUGCAGUCAGGCUGAGACAGAGAAACGAAGCUUUCUCCUCUAAAAACCUCACAGCAGGGCUUUAAUCUUUUUAAUUUUUAAAGAUGCUUUUGUUAGACUUUAAAUUUCAGAAGUUGCCUCUGAACUAUCAAGGCCAGAUUUUUUUCAUUCCCUCUGUUCACUGUAGGUAAUUCCCUGUCAAGCAUCCUGCCCAAAACAAUCAGGCAUUGCUGGAUUCCUCUCACCCUCCACACAAGGCAUGAAAAAGCAAUGGAGGAAAACCCAGUUCUGACAUUCCCCCUUCUCACAGCGGAGAGAAACAGGGAAUAAUCAUCCCCGGUGCCUCUGCCUGUUCCUUUCCCUGCUGGUUGCUCAUCAGUGCCCUGGUUGCCCAUCAGUUUUUCCAGCCCCUGGAGGGUGUUGUCGCGUGGUCCUUCCUCCCGUCUUACUCCCGGCUGUUGUUUCUGGAGCUCCCGGUACUACUGCUUGGCACAGCUCCCCCCGGUGACUCCGAGCUGGUGGCAGGCAGGACUGAGCCCUGCCCAGCCCUUUCCCAGGAAGGCCUGGCUUCCCCUCAGAGGAAAACCAGCUCAGCCCCUGGAGCGUUGUCUGCCGGGCCAUCGGGGAGAAAAUAAAAAGUGAUUCAGCUUAUUUUUGUCUCCGGUGAAGCGGAGCUGGUGUGGUUUGAUUUGAAACGCCUUCCUCACUUACAGCAGGGAUUUUAUUUGAAUGUUGAUUGUUUAUUUAUCAUUCCCUUCUGUGUGUAUGGCUGGGUAAAAAGCCCUUUUGUUUUGAAGCGUCCCGUGGACUGCAGCAGGAAGCUCAGGAACUCCUGGUGGACUGAAUGAAACACAGUCAAUGAUAAUAAAAUUAUAGAAGGUUGGAGCCAGGAGGAAACUAAGUAGAUGGUGUAGUUGGACUUCCCACACUAAACCUGGACUUGGAUGUUUGCUGGCAUAUUCUUAAAUGUUUUUAACACCUCCAGGGAGCUUCCACAACAUUGUGAGAUGGAUCUUCUUAAUGUUCCACCUCGGUGACAGUGAGAAUCUCUUGACCAACUUAGCAAAAUUGAGCAUGAAAGAAAUUUAAAUUGUUCUGAAGUGCCCUCCUCUAACUGAAAUAGGUUAGAACUAAACAUGUGUUGUUAGAACAGGAAGAUAUUUGGAAUUUGGAGUGAUGUCUGACACCUUCUUUGCUCAGAUCUGGCUGUCUGGACACACACCCUGAGGUCCUGGACACUCAACUUCCUCUUCACUUUCUGGUCUCCAGCAUCUCAGAAAAGCCAAGAGAUCUGCCCUGAGCCACUGCCUGGGCCAAGGUGCUGGAUUAAACCUGGGAUUAAAGCCUGGGAUUGCUCAGGAGUAGCUUUGAUACACCCAGAGCUGGUCCCAUCCACAGCCUGGGGCUUGGAAUUGCAUUCCAGUGGGUAUCCCUAAUUCCCCCAGUGCAGAGAACAAUCCUGUGCAGUCAGUCUGCUUCCUGUGCAUUGUGACUGCUGCUGAUGACUCCACAGACUUGCAAGUGUGAUGCUCAGCUAAAUAAAAUUGUUUCCAAGAAGGACAUCAUCAUUAAUCUUUAAUUAAUGCCUGGUGUUCAGUGUAAGAUAUGAUUGCCCAUGGUUGGAAUUGCAGUGGGAAUAAGGCAGGUGCCUCAGACUGGGCUGGAACUGCCUGUGGGACAGAGGAGAGCUGGGCUGCCCCCGUUCCAUCCCUGCCAAGUGAUCCAGGUCGCUCAGCAGUGGCAGAAUUUGGCAGGUUUCCCUGCCCCAAGGAGUUUGCAAUUUGAAGGAGUGCUGCUUUCUUCAUCCUGCUCUUAGAGCUGUUCCCAUGUCAGUCAGUGGGAUGAAUUCCCAUCUUCCUUUUGUUGACAUGUAAAUGAAGUUUGUCAGGACUUUGUCCAAUCUGCACAAGGAAAGUUUCAUUUCACGGAGCCUGCCAGCUCACAGGGGUGUGCUCAGGGCUCUGUUCUCCCACCUUUCACCCUUGGAAUGUGCUGCAAGGAUAGUUUGGGGGAAAAAAGGGAGGCUGACAAAGGCCAGCACUAAAAUCAUGAGGCACAAAGAGCUGCUGUGAGUCCUUGCUGGUGGAUUUCUGUUUGAUUUGAAGAAGCACCUGGUAUGGCAGUAACAACUCCCAGGUUCCUCAGUGAGUCUUGCAGAGGGAACAAUCAAAAUAUGAUUUGUUUAUUAUGGGAAGGACAAUUAAGAAUGAAUUGAUGGAUGAGUUGCUGCUGUAUUUGGGAGCCCCAGGGACCCUGUUCUGAA
Molecule: long non-coding RNA, 3155 nt
Organism: Neopelma chrysocephalum (saffron-crested tyrant-manakin)
Lineage: Eukaryota; Metazoa; Chordata; Aves; Passeriformes; Pipridae
Exons: 3
Source: RefSeq, a predicted model, not a curated record